GACGAACGCUGGCGGCGUGCCUAAUACAUGCAAGUAGAACGCUGAAGGAGGAGCUUGCUUCUCCGGAUGAGUUGCGAACGGGUGAGUAACGCGUAGGUAACCUGCCUGGUAGCGGGGGAUAACUAUUGGAAACGAUAGCUAAUACCGCAUAACAGUAGAUGUUGCAUGACAUUUGCUUAAAAGGUGCAAUUUCAUCACUACCAGAUGGACCUGCGUUGUAUUAGCUAGUUGGUGAGGUAACGGCUCACCAAGGCGACGAUACAUAGCCGACCUGAGAGGGUGAUCGGCCACACUGGGACUGAGACACGGCCCAGACUCCUACGGGAGGCAGCAGUAGGGAAUCUUCGGCAAUGGACGGAAGUCUGACCGAGCAACGCCGCGUGAGUGAAGAAGGUUUUCGGAUCGUAAAGCUCUGUUGUAAGAGAAGAACGAGUGUGAGAGUGGAAAGUUCACACUGUGACGGUAUCUUACCAGAAAGAGACGGCUAACUACGUG
This 495-nucleotide ribosomal RNA is filed under the name uncultured bacterium. Its description in RNAcentral is "partial 16S ribosomal RNA". It matches the Rfam family "Bacterial small subunit ribosomal RNA", at positions 28 to 507 of the family's 1533-position model. The record is from RNAcentral.